GGGAUUCAAUGCUUGAGUCUUGAAGCGGGUUUCAGCAUGCAGCAAGUCACCAAGAACCUAGUCCAUAUUUGAGAUAUUAUUACUGACCAAAUUCAAUCAAAUUGACUCAUACUCCGGGAGGAGGCGCAAGAGAAACUGUAAGAUACGAGUUCGUUGACGUUCUUUAUUGAGGAUUGCACUAGUAGCAACAUCAACAAGAAAAGACAUCAUAAAAUCUUGUUAUGUCCAAAGUUCUAAUGCGGUAAGAUAUCAUAGCUAUGAAUAUCAAACCCGCCUUGGUCAAGCUUGGCGAGUUCGUACUGAGUUUCAAAUUGGCGAGAUCCACUAGUAUAAGCCUAAGCUGCCGAGAGAUGCUUCGAGAUGUUUGAAACUACAGAGAAUGUUCGAAGCAAGAGAGAAAUUGGAGGAGAAACAGAUCCAAGAAUCCAGCAAACUACAUUGGCAUUAUUUGUCUGUCAUUGAAGGAGUUCCUUAUUGUAAGCAGUAACAACAGCCGAAUUUGUCAUCAUAGCGUUAGCAACUUUGGCAGGAGUAUUGAUGGCUGAGACAGCCGCAACAACCGGAACAGUGGUAACGAUAUCAUCGCCAGUGAGAUAGGAAAGGAUACCCUUACCCUGAACAUGAACUUGGAAUUGAUGUUCACAGAGAGCGAAGUUCUUCCCAUCGAAGCGAGUGCAGGUAGAAUCUUCUUUGAUACCAUGUAAAGAGUUGAGCAAAGAUUGAACAGAGAGAGAG
Molecule: long non-coding RNA, 735 nt
Filed under: Linum usitatissimum (flax)
Lineage: Eukaryota; Viridiplantae; Streptophyta; Magnoliopsida; Malpighiales; Linaceae
Description: long non-coding RNA (LUSI_LNC004267)
Source: RNAcentral